GGGUGGUUAGCUCAGCGGUAGAGCACUGCCUUCACACGGCAGGGGUCACAAGUUCGAUCCUUGUACCACCCACCA
This 75-nucleotide transfer RNA is filed under the name Cupriavidus gilardii J11. Its description in RNAcentral is "tRNA-Val". It matches the Rfam family "tRNA". From Rfam's summary of the family: Transfer RNA (tRNA) molecules are approximately 80 nucleotides in length. Their secondary structure includes four short double-helical elements and three loops (D, anti-codon, and T loops). The record is from RNAcentral. RNAcentral also lists the same sequence under 3 other names. Lineage: Bacteria; Pseudomonadati; Pseudomonadota; Betaproteobacteria; Burkholderiales; Burkholderiaceae.